Oncorhynchus nerka (sockeye salmon) is the source of this 1753-nucleotide long non-coding RNA. RefSeq lists it as uncharacterized. The record is from RefSeq and is a predicted model, not a curated record. The transcript is spliced from 2 exons. NCBI's taxonomy places the organism in Eukaryota, Metazoa, Chordata, Actinopteri, Salmoniformes, Salmonidae.
GGGACCAUCAUCAGCGUAUCUGUUCUCUCGCUUUUUCCGAGGAGGCAUGUUACUGGGUUGAAUUUGGUGCUUGAUAACAAAUAUAGACGCUGGUGAUCAAGUUUCUUCCAGAGUUUUGGCAAGAGUUCAUCCCAUGAAGUCAGCUGUAGGUGCCAGGGCCCUGCCGGAGAGGGAAUUAAGAGUGUCUGGAGAGGUAGUGUUUGGGACCGGUGAACAGGCAGUGCUGGGGCGAAGAGAACAAAACCAGGUGAUGUCUCCAUUCACUGGUGUUUGUGCCUUAAAGAAAAAAAAGGGCUAUUUAGUACACUUAUCCAAACCAUCCAAAACGUUCGAUGAACAUCAAAUAUCAUUAACCGACACUACAAUAGACUUAUCAUUUUGCAAAGGUUUGAGCAGUUGAGCAAGACUGGACAACUACUCAAUUCUGCUCAAACGUUUUCAACAUUUUGAGUAGCUGGACCUAGCUACAAAACUUUUGACUUUGGUUUUACCAAUUUGGGAAGCGUAUGAUGUUCUUUGACAAAAUAAUGUUUGAUCAAAUGUUGUAAAGGUCUUUAGUUUAGUUGGCUUGCUUUCUCUGCACGAGUAUACUCCUAGGCUAGCUAGCCACUAGCCAGCGCUAGCUAUUGUUAGCAAAACAUGACUACUCUUUUCAGUGACUAAUAGAAAAUACAACAUACAACAGAAAAUACAACAUACCUCUCAUCCUUUGGUGAAGACAUCAUGUUGCUUUCAGUCUUCCCGUGCUGAACAAGCCAGCAGCAACAUUUCUGUAGGAGCAUUUCCACUGUGGCCCUUGUUUCUUUUCUUUGCCUUGACAAACUUGUUGCAAACCAUACCCCACUUUUUCAAACAAGUGGUUGGAUCGGACCCCAGCGUUUUCCGCAAUCACCCUCCAUUAAAUUGGCAUUUACAUGCUGUUCUUUAUGUAAUGCAUGGCAAUAAUUGUAGUGGUUAAUGUACUUCUGUACCUCCUCGGUCAAUCGAUGCUUGAAGUUGUUUUGUUGUUGUUUUUUAUGCUUGAAGUUGUUGUUGUUGUUGUUUUUUUAUGCUUGAAGUUGUUGUUGUUGUUUUUUAUGCUUGAAGUUGUUGUUCGCCAUGUUGAAUACACACUGAGUUUAGGGCUUCUUCUUCUUUAAAGUUGUAUGGUAGACUACACCGGGUGCCGCCACCUAUGAGUUUCGGGCUGAAGAAGAAGAAACAUACGUCACCCUUACAGUUGACCAAUCAAGGACGAAGGGGCAUAUACUUCGGCUCCCGAACUUCGGCUGGCCUCCAGAACAAAAUGUAGUGUGCACGAACAGCCGUCAAAACCCUCGCCGAACACCAUAACGAACAAAAACUUCACAAAAUGUCGUCAUAAUUGUGGCGUAUAGCAGGUCAGCCAUCAGGGGAAGACUGGUCGAGCCCUGGUGACAGACCGAGUAUACAUCACGAGGCGAUGGCUCCCUCUACUGGACUUGCCAGGUCUCGACGGGCUCUCCGGCCAGGACUAAUUGGGGUUGAUUGUGGUUGGUGAGUAAUCAAGGGCUGAUUGCUCACCAGCUGGACGGGUCCCAUAAAGCUGCCAGAAGGGCAGCACACGUAUAGCUGGGGAUGGUUCUGGAGGUAAAGGGAGGGAGUGCUGUUUUUGUUCACCACAGGAUACAGCAAGACCCGGAGCCCAGAAGAAGGUAUCCCCGGAGAGGGUCUCAUGGGGGAGACCUAUUAUUUUCUUUUGGUUUGUUAUUCAAAUAAACACCCUUGAAACUGA